AUGCCAACGGCGCCGACGCCCCGCCUCAGACCGAAGCGGGCCACGGCGCCCCUCGAUGCGGCCGCGAGAGCCCGCCUCGCCGCUCUCCCCAGAAGCGACGACAGCAGCGGCAGCGAGCACCAGGCGGCCGCACUCUCCAGCCUCGUCAACGAUUACCUCCUCGAGACGGACACGACAGUCCCGUCGGCCACCCUCGCGGUGGAAGGCUCCUCUGGUCUGGAUGACGAGCCUAACGGCCACACCAGCUCAACGGCGGCGGCCGACAUACUUGCGGAGAUCAAGGACAAUCUUGACCCGACCGGUAGCAGUGCUGACGAGCUACGCCGCCGGCUCGUCUUUGCCGUGGCGGAUGCCAUGCGCGGGUUGGAUGAUCUGCGGCCGAACCAGUCGGCUUUCCGGCGCGCCGUGAUGUCCCGCCUGCGCGAGCGUGGCCACGACGCCGGCCUGUGCAAGGUGCGUUGGGACAAGUCGAGUGGCGUGACCGCCGGGAGCUACGAAUACAUCGACGUCAUCGCUGGCGGGGGUGAAACAAGGUACAUCGUGGAUGUCGGCUUCGCGGCGGAGUUUGAGGUCGCACGGUCGACCGAGGAGUACGAGGCAGUUCGGACGGCACUACCGGAAGUGCUGAUCGCGCGCCCGGAGCACCUCAGGCAGGUUGUGAAGCUUGCAGCGUCCGCAUCACGGCGCUCGCUCAAGAGCAGCGGCCUCAGUGUGCCGCCCUGGAGGAAGAGGCGGUUCAUGAUGACCAAAUGGCUAGGGCCCUACAAGCGGACGGUUAACUCUAUUCCGGCAUCAGCGGGUACGGCAUUAGGCGGCAGUGGUGUGGUGGCCGUCUGCCGGACCAUAGUUGGCUUCGCCCCUCAGACUACAGUGGGGACGUCGUCAGGCUUUUGGGGGUGA
RNAcentral lists this ribosomal RNA (900 nucleotides) under Triticum aestivum (bread wheat). RNAcentral's name for it is "partial small subunit ribosomal RNA". The record is from RNAcentral. Lineage: Eukaryota; Viridiplantae; Streptophyta; Magnoliopsida; Poales; Poaceae.